RNAcentral lists this ribosomal RNA (573 nucleotides) under uncultured bacterium. RNAcentral describes it as "partial 16S ribosomal RNA". It matches the Rfam family "Bacterial small subunit ribosomal RNA", at positions 355 to 918 of the family's 1533-position model. The record is from RNAcentral.
UGGGGAAUCUUCCGCAAUGGACGAAAGUCUGACGGAGCAACGCCGCGUGUAUGAUGAAGGUCUUCGGAUUGUAAAGUACUGUCAUUGGGGAAGAACGGUUUUCUUGAAAAGAUUGAGAAGACAUGACGGUACCCAAGGAGGAAGCCCCGGCUAACUACGUGCCAGCAGCCGCGGUAAUACGUAGGGGGCAAGCGUUGUCCGGAAUUAUUGGGCGUAAAGGGCGCGUAGGCGGGCUUUUAAGUCCGGUGUGAAAGAUCAGGGCUCAACCCUGAGAGUGCAUCGGAAACUGGAGGCCUUGAGGACAGGAGAGGAAAGUGGAAUUCCACGUGUAGCGGUGAAAUGCGUAGAUAUGUGGAGGAACACCAGUGGCGAAGGCGACUUUCUGGACUGUAACUGACGCUGAGGCGCGAAAGCGUGGGGAGCAAACAGGAUUAGAUACCCUGGUAGUCCACGCCGUAAACGAUGAGUGCUAGGUGUAGAGGGUAUCGACCCCUUCUGUGCCGCAGUUAACACAAUAAGCACUCCGCCUGGGGAGUACGGCCGCAAGGUUGAAACUCAAAUGAAUUGACGGGG